UGAGUGUUGAGGUGGACAUGUGGAAAUAGCAUAUACGAAAAAUCAAUCAAAUAGAUUCAUUAGUGUGAGCAUUAGCAAUACGAUCUUAUAAAUGAUUUAUGAUAUUAAGUGCUGAAUAAUUGUAAUUCUUUUACCAUGCUACCUUGUUAUGUCUCAUGAAAAUUAGAUGAGUUAUUGUGAGACCCUGGACUGGGCCCAGUCUACUUGACCAGCCUGGCCACCUAACUAGGGCCUCAUUAGCGUCGCACAUGAGGGCACUGGGAAGAAGACUCCAGCCUCCCUCCCUGAUUGCGGUGAAUCAGAAGUUCAUCGCGAUCUAGAGAUCGACCAGAUAAGGCCUACGAUCAGUUAUUUAAGAUCUCCUUUCCUUCUCCUUCGAAUUGAUUCAAGAUUAAGCCAUCAGUUUCGAGCCCUUCCUCCAAC
Molecule: long non-coding RNA, 423 nt
Filed under: Phoenix dactylifera (date palm)
Lineage: Eukaryota; Viridiplantae; Streptophyta; Magnoliopsida; Arecales; Arecaceae
Description: long non-coding RNA (PDAC_LNC011021)
Source: RNAcentral